AAAUUGAAGAGUUUGAUCAUGGCUCAGAUUGAACGCUGGCGGCAGGCCUAACACAUGCAAGUCGAACGGUAACAGGAAGAAGCUUGCUUCUUUGCUGACGAGUGGCGGACGGGUGAGUAAUGUCUGGGAAACUGCCUGAUGGAGGGGGAUAACUACUGGAAACGG
This 165-nucleotide ribosomal RNA is filed under the name Escherichia coli. RNAcentral's name for it is "partial 16S ribosomal RNA". It matches the Rfam family "Bacterial small subunit ribosomal RNA", at positions 1 to 159 of the family's 1533-position model. The record is from RNAcentral. Lineage: Bacteria; Pseudomonadati; Pseudomonadota; Gammaproteobacteria; Enterobacterales; Enterobacteriaceae.